RNAcentral lists this long non-coding RNA (239 nucleotides) under Physcomitrium patens. RNAcentral describes it as "long non-coding RNA (PPAT_LNC010876)". Lineage: Eukaryota; Viridiplantae; Streptophyta; Bryopsida; Funariales; Funariaceae. The record is from RNAcentral.
AAUAUAAGUUAUUAGGUUGAAAAGCUAUUGAUUAAAGUUUCAUGGUAUUUGAGUACUUAUUUUGUGAGAUAUGAAGAAAAUAGCAUGCAAAUAUAUGUAAGCUAGGAUUUAAAGUUAUUAUUAGAGUUUUGGUGAUAGCUCAAGAUCUAUAAUGAAUUUGUAAUUGAAUUUAUUUUAGUAUUUUUUAAAAUUAUAUUAAUACUUUGUAUAAAAUUAAGGAUUGUUUGGAUAGUUGGAUU